This is a long non-coding RNA of Chinchilla lanigera (long-tailed chinchilla), 590 nucleotides long. RefSeq lists it as uncharacterized. Lineage: Eukaryota; Metazoa; Chordata; Mammalia; Rodentia; Chinchillidae. The transcript has 3 exons. The record is from RefSeq and is a predicted model, not a curated record.
CACCAUACCCGGCUAUUUUUAAUACAAAAUUUGGACACCACUCAUCAACGGCACUGUCCCUCGCAGAUAGAUCAUCAGCCACUUUCCAUCCUUGGGCCCUUCUAACCGCAUUCGGAACCCCAACCCCUUUCUGUCAUCCCAACCCCUUUCGGCCCCCUUGCGUGUGACCCUGAUGCCGCGUGUGACGUGCACGAGAGAUAGAGUCCAGGAUCUUGAGUAGGUCAAGCAGAGAACAGCAAGUGCACAUCCGAAGGUCAAAAGCAAAAGCAGAUAGGCGUACUGAGCAUGACCGGAAGAUGUGCUCCAGUUCGCGCAGAAACAGGAAGUGGCGCGAAGGGGUGUCGAGGCGCUGAGGCUCAGGUGAACCGGGAGAAGGAACUAAAUCCGGCUUUCGGAUUUUAGAAGAUGUGGACCCAGCCCCAGGUGCCUCUCACCUGAUCUCCCUGGGACAGUGGAGCAGGAUUGGCCCUGGGUAUUGCCCAAACUCAGGUGGAUGGAGGGGGAGUGGUCUCCCAGCCCAACAGUGCUACCUGUACAAAGCCUUUUACCCAGGGUCUCGCAAAAUUGUUCAGGCUGGCCUCCAACUUGAG